GCUAUACAUGCAUGUCGAGCGGAGUUCUUCGGAACUUAGCGGCGAAUGGGUGAGUAACACGUACUUAACGUGCCUUUUAGAUUGGAAUAACGCUGAGAAAUUAGCGCUAAUGCCGGAUACUUAUUAUUUUCGCAUGAAAACAAUAUAAAAGAAGCGCUUGCUUCACUAAAAGAUCGGGGUGCGGAACAUUAGCUAGUUGGUAAGGUAAUGGCUUACCAAGGCGAUGAUGUUUAGCGGGGUUGAGAGACUGAUCCGCCACACUGGGACUGAGAUACGGCCCAGACUCCUACGGGAGGCAGCAGUAGGGAAUUUUCCACAAUGGACGAAAGUCUGAUGGAGCGACACAGCGUGCAGGAAGACGGCCUUCGGGUUGUAAACUGCUGUUAUAAGGGAAGAAAAAGCAGAGGAGGAAAUGCCUUUGUCUUGACGGUACCUUGUCAGAAAGCAACGGCUAACUAUGUGCCAGCAGCCGCGGUAAUACAUAGGUUGCAAGCGUUAUCCGGAAUUAUUGGGCGUAAAGCGUCUGUAGGUUGUAUGUUAAGUCUGGCGUCAAAACUUGGGGCUCAACCCCAAAUCGCGUUGGAUACUGGCAUACUAGAAUUGUGUAGAGGUUAGCGGAAUUCCUAGUGAAGCGGUGAAAUGCGUAGAUAUUAGGAAGAACACCAACAUGGCGAAGGCAGCUAACUGGGCACAUAUUGACACUGAGAGACGAAAGCGUGGGGAGCAAACAGGAUUAGAUACCCUGGUAGUCCACGCCGUAAACGAUGAUGAUUAGCUGAUGGGAACCAUCGGCACAGCUAACGCAUUAAAUCAUCCGCCUGAGUAGUAUGCUCGCAAGAGUGAAACUUAAAGGAAUUGACGGGGAUCCGCACAAGCGGUGGAGCAUGUGGUUUAAUUUGAAGAUACGCGUAGAACCUUACCCACUCUUGACAUCUUCCGCAAAACUAUAGAGAUAUAGUGGAGGCUAACGGAAUGACAGAUGGUGCAUGGUUGUCGUCAGCUCGUGUCGUGAGAUGUUCGGUUAAGUCCUGCAACGAGCGCAACCCCUAUCCUUAGUUAAAUGUUCUAGGGAGACUGCCCGAGUAAUUGGGAGGAAGGUGGGGACGACGUCAAAUCAUCAUGCCUCUUACGAGUGGGGCAACACACGUGCUACAAUGGAUGGUACAAAGAGAAGCAAUACGGCGACGUGGAGCAAAUCUCAAAAAACCAUUCUCAGUUCGGAUUGUAGUCUGCAACUCGACUACAUGAAGUCGGAAUCGCUAGUAAUCGUAGAUCAGCUACGCUACGGUGAAUACGUUCUCGGGUCUUGUACACACCGCCCGUCACACCAUGGGAGCUGGUAAUGCCCGAAGUCGGUUUUGUUAACUACGGAGACAACUGCCUAAGGCAGA
RNAcentral lists this ribosomal RNA (1391 nucleotides) under Mycoplasma sp. Its description in RNAcentral is "bacterial SSU rRNA". It matches the Rfam family "Bacterial small subunit ribosomal RNA". The record is from RNAcentral. Lineage: Bacteria; Bacillati; Mycoplasmatota; Mollicutes; Mycoplasmatales; Mycoplasmataceae.